RNAcentral lists this ribosomal RNA (253 nucleotides) under uncultured bacterium. RNAcentral's name for it is "partial 16S ribosomal RNA". It matches the Rfam family "Bacterial small subunit ribosomal RNA", at positions 524 to 776 of the family's 1533-position model. The record is from RNAcentral.
UACAGAGGUCUCAAGCGUUGUUCGGAUUUACUGGGCGUAAAGGGUGCGUAGGCGGUGGCAUAAGUCGAGUGUGAAAUCUUCCGGCCUAACCGGAAAACUGCACUCGAUACUGCGUCACUAGAGGAUUGUAGAGGAGACUGGAAUUCACGGUGUAGCAGUGAAAUGCGUAGAUAUCGUGAGGAAGACCGGUGGCGAAAGCGAGUCUCUGGGCAAUUCCUGACGCUGAGGCACGAAGGCUAGGGGAGCAAACGGG